RNAcentral lists this ribosomal RNA (253 nucleotides) under uncultured bacterium. Its description in RNAcentral is "partial 16S ribosomal RNA". It matches the Rfam family "Bacterial small subunit ribosomal RNA", at positions 524 to 776 of the family's 1533-position model. The record is from RNAcentral.
UACAGAGGGUGCAAGCGUUGUUCGGAAUUAUUGGGCGUAAAGGGAGUGUAGGCGGUUCUUUAAGUCUGCUGUGAAAUCUACGGGCUUAGCUUGUAACGUGCAGAGGAAACUGAAGGGCUUGAGUGUCGGAGAGGAUAGGGGAAUUCCCGGUGUAGAGGUGAAAUUCGUAGAGAUCGGGAGGAACACCGGUGGCGAAGGCGCCUAUCUGGCUGACAACUGACGCUGAGACUCGAAAGCAUGGGGAGCAAACAGG